Acanthochromis polyacanthus (spiny chromis) is the source of this 133-nucleotide small nucleolar RNA. The record is from Ensembl. Lineage: Eukaryota; Metazoa; Chordata; Actinopteri; Pomacentridae.
UGCCUUUAUGUGUUGCCCUUUCAUUGCUUCCUUCAUGUUUGGGGUGUCAAAUAAGGCAAACAGAGACUCUUGCGGUUGUUGGUAAAGUGAGUUUCCACCGACUCGUUUUACGUAAACAUCUGCACGGACACGC